RNAcentral lists this ribosomal RNA (255 nucleotides) under uncultured bacterium. Its description in RNAcentral is "partial 16S ribosomal RNA". It matches the Rfam family "Bacterial small subunit ribosomal RNA", at positions 524 to 776 of the family's 1533-position model. The record is from RNAcentral.
UACGUAGGGCGCAAGCGUUAUCCGGAAUUAUUGGGCGUAAAGAGCUCGUAGGCGGUUUGUCGCGUCUGCCGUGAAAGUCCGGGGCUCAACUCCGGAUCUGCGGGUGGGUACGGGCAGACUAGAGUGAUGUAGGGGAGACUGGAAUUCCUGGUGUAGCGGUGAAAUGCGCAGAUAUCAGGAGGAACACCGAUGGCGAAGGCAGGUCUCUGGGCAUUAACUGACGCUGAGGAGCGAAAGCAUGGGGGAGCGAACAGG